CCUACGGGUGGCAGCAGUGAGGAAUAUUGGUCAAUGGGAGAGAUCCUGAACCAGCCAAGCCGCGUGAGGGAAGACGGCCCUAUGGGUUGUAAACCUCUUUUGUCGGGGAACAAAACCCGGGACGUGUCCCGGACUGCGUGUAUCCGAAGAAAAAGCAUCGGCUAACUCCGUGCCAGCAGCCGCGGUAAUACGGAGGAUGCGAGCGUUAUCCGGUUUUAUUGGGUUUAAAGGGUGCGUAGGCGGUCCGUUAAGUCAGCGGUAAAAGUGCGGGGAUCAACCCUGUCGAGUCGUUGAAACUGGGAGGCUUGAGUUGGCGAGAAGUACGCGGAAUGCGCGGUGUAGCGGUGAAAUGCAUAGAUAUCGCGCAGAACUCCGAUUGCGAAGGCAGCGUACCGUCGCCAUACUGACGCUGAGGCACGAAAGCGCGGGGAUCGAACAGGAUUAGAUACCCCUGUAGUC
RNAcentral lists this ribosomal RNA (459 nucleotides) under uncultured bacterium. RNAcentral's name for it is "partial 16S ribosomal RNA". It matches the Rfam family "Bacterial small subunit ribosomal RNA", at positions 338 to 795 of the family's 1533-position model. The record is from RNAcentral.